GACGAACCGUACGAACGUUAUUCGGAAUUACUGGGCUUAAAGGGUGCGUAGGCGGCUCAGUAAGUUGGGUGUGAAAUCCCUCGGCUUAACCGAGGAAUUGCGCCCAAAACUACUGUGCUCGAGGGAGAUAGAGGUGAGCGGAACUUAGGGUGGAGCGGUGAAAUGCGUUGAUAUCCUAAGGAACACCGGUGGCGAAAGCGGCUCACUGGAUCUCUUCUGACGCUGAGGCACGAAAGCUAGGGUAGCAAACGGG
RNAcentral lists this ribosomal RNA (253 nucleotides) under uncultured bacterium. Its description in RNAcentral is "partial 16S ribosomal RNA". It matches the Rfam family "Bacterial small subunit ribosomal RNA", at positions 524 to 776 of the family's 1533-position model. The record is from RNAcentral.